This 844-nucleotide ribosomal RNA is filed under the name uncultured bacterium. RNAcentral's name for it is "bacterial SSU rRNA". It matches the Rfam family "Bacterial small subunit ribosomal RNA", at positions 8 to 852 of the family's 1533-position model. The record is from RNAcentral.
AGAGUUUGAUCCUGGCUCAGGAUGAACGCUGGCGGCGUGCUUAACACAUGCAAGUCGAACGAAGCACCUUGAUUCGAUUCUUCGGAUGAAGAUCUUGGUGACUGAGUGGCGGACGGGUGAGUAACGCGUGGGUAACCUGCCUCAUACAGGGGGAUAACAGUUAGAAAUGACUGCUAAUACCGCAUAAGACCACAGCACCGCAUGGUGCAGGGGUAAAAACUCCGGUGGUAUGAGAUGGACCCGCGUCUGAUUAGGUAGUUGGUGGGGUAACGGCCUACCAAGCCGACGAUCAGUAGCCGACCUGAGAGGGUGACCGGCCACAUUGGGACUGAGACACGGCCCAAACUCCUACGGGAGGCAGCAGUGGGGAAUAUUGCACAAUGGGGGAAACCCUGAUGCAGCGACGCCGCGUGAGCGAUGAAGUAUUUCGGUAUGUAAAGCUCUAUCAGCAGGGAAGAAAAUGACGGUACCUGACUAAGAAGCACCGGCUAAAUACGUGCCAGCAGCCGCGGUAAUACGUAUGGUGCAAGCGUUAUCCGGAUUUACUGGGUGUAAAGGGAGCGUAGACGGAGUGGCAAGUCUGAUGUGAAAACCCGGGGCUCAACCCCGGGACUGCAUUGGAAGCUGUCAAUCUAGAGUACCGGAGAGGUAAGCGGAAUUCCUAGUGUAGCGGUGAAAUGCGUAGAUAUUAGGAGGAACACCAGUGGCGAAGGCGGCUUACUGGACGGUAACUGACGUUGAGGCUCGAAAGCGUGGGGAGCAAACAGGAUUAGAUACCCUGGUAGUCCACGCCGUAAACGAUGACUACUAGGUGUCGGGCAGCAAAGCUGUUCGGUGCCGCAGC